AAUGCGCAGAUAUCAGGAGGAACACCGAUGGCGAAGGCAGGUCUCUGGGCAUUUACUGACGCUGAGGAGCGAAAGCAUGGGGAGCGAACAGGAUUAGAUACCCUGGUAGUCCAUGCCGUAAACGUUGGGCACUAGGUGUGGGGGACAUUCCACGUUUUCCGCGCCGUAGCUAACGCAUUAAGUGCCCCGCCUGGGGAGUACGGCCGCAAGGCUAAAACUCAAAGGAAUUGACGGGGGCCCGCACAAGCGGCGGAGCAUGCGGAUUAAUUCGAUGCAACGCGAAGAACCUUACCAAGGCUUGACAUGUUCCAGAUCGCCUCAGAGAUGGGGUUUCCCUUCGGGGCUGGUUCACAGGUGGUGCAUGGUUGUCGUCAGCUCGUGUCGUGAGAUGUUGGGUUAAGUCCCGCAACGAGCGCAACCCUCGUUCCAUGUUGCCAGCGGGUUAUGCCGGGGACUCAUGGGAGACUGCCGGGGUCAACUCGGAGGAAGGUGGGGAUGACGUCAAAUCAUCAUGCCCCUUAUGUCUUGGGCUUCACGCAUGCUACAAUGGCCGGUACAAUGGGUUGCGAUACUGUGAGGUGGAGCUAAUCCCUAAAAGCCGGUCUCAGUUCGGAUUGGGGUCUGCAACUCGACCCCAUGAAGUCGGAGUCGCUAGUAAUCGCAGAUCAGCAACGCUGCGGUGAAUACGUUCCCGGGCCUUGUACACACCGCCCGUCAAGUCACGAAAGUUGGUAACACCCGAAGCCGAUGGCCUAACCACCUUGUGUGGGGGGAGUCGUCGAAAGGUGGGACUGGCGAUG
This 800-nucleotide ribosomal RNA is filed under the name Arthrobacter sp. RNAcentral's name for it is "bacterial SSU rRNA". It matches the Rfam family "Bacterial small subunit ribosomal RNA", at positions 685 to 1476 of the family's 1533-position model. Lineage: Bacteria; Bacillati; Actinomycetota; Actinomycetes; Micrococcales; Micrococcaceae. The record is from RNAcentral.